AAAAAGGGAGUCGAAUGUGGAUAUCGAAUUUAAGGGUACUUUUACCAUGGUAGCCCUCUCGAUAGUAUGCUCCACCCAUUAGGAUGGCAUCACUUCAUCCUUUGGGCUACCCCCACAUCGAGUAUGCUAAACCAUAGUGAGUUUCAUCGAAACUCAUACCCCGCGUGACAACGGAUUUAUUUAUACGAUCUACUUAUUUAUAACAACCUAAAAAUAGACGGGAGUCGCCACUAGCCUCAACUUUGGGGGUCGGCUAGAAACCCAAUCGAGGGUCGGGAGUGUCCCCUCGAUUCCUAUGCAACCAGAUAUCCAGGUUCGGGGACUUGGGUUACGCUAAUAUUGCUAUUAACGCCCUUUCGGUACCUAAACAGUAUGUUGUGUUUUUCUUAACAUGUCCAUGCGUUUUUUUUACAUUUUUCAGGAUCAUCAAUUCCUAGACUAAGUGAUCAUGCGUGGCGAAUUACUUUCAUUCUAUUCUAUUUCUAAAAAAUGAAAAGAAAACAAUCAAUGAAAUUGAAAGCACAAGACAUGAAGUAAACAAUCAAGAGAAAUCAGUAAACCUAAUUAUGCAAUUCUAAAGAAUAUAAAAGAGAAAACAAUCGAGAAAGAAAGGAAACCCGCAACUCGUCGGGCUUUAUACAAUGCAUAAAACCCGAGACAUGUGUCGGGAAAAUGAGCAUUACAUGAUAACAGUCGGAGUGGACAUCGACCUUCACCAUCUUCACGCCUUCUCCAUCUUCGGGAUCCUAAUCUAAAUCUAAUCUAAUAAACCUAUAACUAGGUAUAUGCAGUGGAAGGAAACAAACAAACAUAUCAAAACAUCAAAGAACAGGACAUUAUUAGUGUUCAAAAAUGGUGACUAAAGUCACAAAGUCUUCUAGAUCAAAUUCUAAGUAGUGUCCCAAGAUUCAUCAUUAUUAUAUGUCACAUCUAAAUUCUUCAUCACAGAAACUAGACACUCAACAUAGGCUCAAUAAAAAUGCAAUCAAUGGCUAUCUCAUCCUAAAAUUUCUAUAGCAGGUGAAUCAGCAUAUGAGGAACAAACUUCAUGAAAAAAAACAUCCUAAAAUUCUAGGCACGUGAAUUUAUAACAUCCUGGAAGAGAUCAAGGUCAAUCAAAAGUAGAACAGAGCAGCAAGGCAAACAUACAACCAUUUUUUUUAUGUGAAGGACAAACUUUCAUGAAGGACCUAAUCCCAAACUCCUCACACAAAAAUUUGUAUUAAAUUCACAAGUAUUCGAGGUUAUAGAAACAAAGCAUGCUUUCUAGACCAAGACAAAUUCCAAAUUUCAAUAUCAGCAAAUUUACGCAUGAACAGCAAACAUCAAUUACGCGUGAUCUCCAUUUAACCCACUAAAAGCACACAUAAUCGCAUUCUAGUAAAACUUUAUAGAGGAAGUGCAGUAAGACACAAGCAUUGCAACUUUAAUGGGACAUUGGAACGUAGGUAAACAUAACGCAAUAGGGAUUAACUAUAUAUGACUGAGCCCAAAAGUCACAAAGCACAGCAUGUAGAUUGAAGAUAAAGAGAGAAAAUAAGCAUAGGAAAUCAGCCAAUAUGGAUCACUAAACCCACAUAUUUUCAUCAUACUCCUAAGUAUCUACUCUUUCUCAUAAGCCAGAUCUAUCAAGACAACAGGAAGUAAUUGAAUGAUAACCCAUGUAAAGAAAAAUACGCCUAAAAGAGAGAUGAAGUCCAGCCUCCAUUUAGUUUCAGGUUUAGGUAUUUCCUUUGACAAACUCAAACAUCAUUGCUGUUACUGACCCUAACAAAAGCUGAACCAGAUUCCCAGAUCAUCCAACAUGCACCAAGGAUAUAAAGUCCUUUCCUGAUAUAAAAUCAUUUGCUGCUAAGGAAAUGUUUCUCCACUAAGGUGAACUUCAGGUACAACUCAUACCGGUCUACCGACAACUACAAACUCAUCAAGGGGGGAAAAAUGCCAUACAGCAGUCCAGAUUGAAGUGCACCAGCGAAUUCACAACUUUAUGGCAGAGAACACAUUCAAUAUUGUGAACAAAGAACUCUAAAAAAUGAACACAGCAGCAACAGGGGACCAAUUUUAUUAAAACCAAUCAAUUUUCUUCUUGUACGUGUCCUGUUUGCUCAGCUUGCUUUGCACUGGAUAUGUAUCUAACCCAAGAAUUUCAAUAACAAAUCCUAAAAAGGCUAGCUACUAAUUUCUGAAAUGAAAGGAAACGAAAUACAAGUAAAGUCUAUACAACAAAACUAAUGUAUCGAUCAAGUAAAGGGAAGCUCUCAAUCAGAAUCUGAAUUGAAACACACACUGAUCUAAUUCAUGAAUUUUAUCAAAUAGGUGGUAGAUAUUUCCGUCAAAGGAGCUAGAUGCAGAAAUAAGAGAGACAUCUUAUCACAAAGAGGCGAUGCAGCAUGUUCAAGGUCAUUAGGAAAGCCUCACACGUGACUAGAUUUCGCUGGUGGAAUUGAGUAUUCGGUUUUUACCUUUAGCAGAAACAGAGCAUGUGGAUUUACCUUGGCGAAGAGUAAUAUCUUACCACGAUUGGAGAAUGGAGGUCCUAAACACGUCGGCACCUGUAACUUGAACGAAGAAACCGUCGCUGUAGUAAACGCUGUCGCCGUUGGCUUCAGAGCUCGAUCUCUGGAACCGAACGGAUUCCUCUGAACUCGGUGAAGUAUCAAAAACUGUCACUCUCCGAGCUCCUCGACUGACUGUUCCGACCUCUAGAGUUUGAGAGAGAUCGGAUCUACAACUUCAACGGCGGCAUCGAAGAACGGCACUCGGAUUCGGAGAUUCGCUAGACUGAACAUCAGGUCUGGGCCGGGGUUUCGGAGACGGGGCCGCGACGGAUUCAACGCGCUCAGGCACUGGAAUCGAGUGUCUGCAGCAGAAUCUCUCCGACGAUUCAGUGAGCCCAAUCCCGAGAGAUUCGAGUCUAAGAAUGGCGAAAGAAAAAACGGAUCUCCAGUCGUCUUCAGAUCGGGUCAGACCCAACGAACAGAACCGCUGACAUCGUCGUUGCCAUGACCGCCGUCGCCUCCGAUCUUCGAUCCCUCACCAAUAGAGAAAAAUAUCAAAUCGACUCCAACACGGGAGCUUCGGAGAUGUCCGCCAUUCAAUGAUGUUGAAGCUGAUUUCGUUAUUGGAGCUUCUGGAACAUCAAGAACGCCGAGCUUCGAUGUACUGAAUGAGUGGAGAAUCUCAGCAAAAGUUGCAGAGAUGAAAGAGAGAAAAUCCUCGGAGAGAAGUAGCGGAAACGUUUUGAUCUCGAGAGAGAAUCCAUGGGGAUCCUUCUUGCAAGAGAGACCACCGGCGAAGAAUUCCUUCGUUUUUUCUGUUCGACCCCCAAUGCCGAGGGAAAAAUCCAAGAGAGAGAUGUAGAGAGAGAAUUUUAGUCCGAGAAACUAGAUCUGGAAAAUGACCCCCCC
This 3407-nucleotide long non-coding RNA is filed under the name Eucalyptus grandis. RNAcentral describes it as "long non-coding RNA (EGRA_LNC004317)". Lineage: Eukaryota; Viridiplantae; Streptophyta; Magnoliopsida; Myrtales; Myrtaceae. The record is from RNAcentral.